RNAcentral lists this long non-coding RNA (315 nucleotides) under Salmo salar (Atlantic salmon). Its description in RNAcentral is "lncRNA (ENSSSAG00000087673.1)". The record is from RNAcentral. Lineage: Eukaryota; Metazoa; Chordata; Actinopteri; Salmoniformes; Salmonidae.
CCGGGUGUUAGUCAGGUAGUCCAGUCCGGGUGUUAGUCAGGUAGUCCAGUCCGGGUGUUAGUCAGGUAGUCCAGUCCGGGUGUUAGUCAGGUAGUCCAGUCCAGGUGUUAGUCAGGUAGUCCAGUCCAGGUGUUAGUCAGGUAGUCCAGUCCAGGUGUUAGACAGGCAGUCCAGGUGUUAGUCAGGCAGUCCAGUCCAGGUGUUAGUCAGGUAGUCCAGUCCAGGUGUUAGUCAGGCAGUCCAGUCCAGGUGUUAGUCAGGCAGUCCAGUCCAGGUGUUAGUCAGGUAGUCCAGUCCAGGUGUUAGUCAGGCAGU